Gorilla gorilla gorilla (western lowland gorilla) is the source of this 1177-nucleotide long non-coding RNA. RefSeq lists it as uncharacterized. The transcript has 5 exons. NCBI's taxonomy places the organism in Eukaryota, Metazoa, Chordata, Mammalia, Primates, Hominidae. The record is from RefSeq and is a predicted model, not a curated record.
GUGAAUCCGCUGAUCCGGGCUUUGGGGCCCGCCGGGAGUUCUGUUUAUAAACACACCGCGCGGCUGCCGGCGAGGGGUAACCCUAAGGGGAGUGGGGUCGGAGGUCAGAGGUCAGCGGGCGCGGGGUCGCCGGCCGUGAGACCGGCCCCGCCACCCUCGGGGACUGCUGGCUGCGCAGGGUGGCCGGCCGGACCGCCCUACCGCGGACCGGGGCUGCCGGGGCGCCACGUGGUGCGCACGUGGUCCGGCCCCGGCGCGGCAGCUCCCCUCCCCCACCACGCGAGCCUGGCCGCAGCGCCGGCUGGCGGCGCGGCGUUGCACAUUGCGCGUGCGCACAACUCGUCUCGAGGCGCCUUCCGGUGGCGCGGCGGGGUCGGUUGCCUCCUCGCGACGGCUGCGCCGGGAUGUUCCGGGGCGGUGGGGUCGCCUGCCCAAUGUCGGGUGCGCGAGUGACGAGUAGAAGCCGGAUUUGUGCGCGUUCUUCAAGGCUCCAAAGGGAGGAGGGAGCCUCCGAGAGUCCACGUGGGGCCGGUGGGAUUCGCAGGGCUGGAGUGCAGAUGUGAUCUCGGCUCACCGCAACCUCUGCCUCUUGGAUUCAAGCGAUUCUCCCGCCUCAGCCUCCCAAGUAGCUGGGAUUACAGGUUUUGGCAAAUGGAUUCUGCAGAGUCAGAUGCCAAUUAACUGAAAUCCUGAAAGUUCAACAAUCGGCUCUUGUGAACAGCUCCAGCUCAGCAUUAGUCUUAUCUGAGACCCCAUCUUGGUCCACUGGAGACAGAGACGCUCCUGCUGGCCUUGCAGAAGCAAACAGCAUGUUGUGAACAGCCCCUGGAGAGGACCCCAUGGCAGGGGACUAUGAGUAGCCUCCAGGACCUGAGGGUGGCCUCCAGCAGAAGGCCAGAAAGAAACUGAGGCCAUCGGUCAUGUGGCCACAAGGAAAUGCAUGCUGCCAGCAGGCUGAGUGACCUUGGGAGAGGAUUCUUGCCCAGUUGAGCCUCCGGAUGAGAAUGCAGCCCAACUCAACCUGGAUUACAGCCAUGAGAGGCUCUGAGCAGAGCACCCAGCUGAGCUGUGCCCAGACUCCUGCCCCAGGGAGACCCGUGUGGUGCUGGAUGGAUGUUGGUUUAAGCUGCUGAACCUGUGGUCAUUUGUUACACAGCAAUAGCGAACAAAUACAUAA